Molecule: long non-coding RNA, 545 nt
Organism: Sarcophilus harrisii (Tasmanian devil)
Lineage: Eukaryota; Metazoa; Chordata; Mammalia; Dasyuromorphia; Dasyuridae
Source: Ensembl
AUUAGCUCUUCCUGUCUCUGCUUUCCCUGAUUGCGUCUGCGUUUCCAGUUUGCCUUUGGAGUCGGCUCCCCUUAGCACCGUCCUGGCGUUUGCUGAAUGAAUGGGGGCCGAUGAGGAAAUCAAGAUCAAGAGAAUUAACUGACUUACCCAAGAUCUUAUAAGUAGUAAGCAGUUCAGAUAGUAUUUGAACCCAGAUGCCUUCUAAAUCCAGAUUCAUCACACUUCACUGCAGAGCUCUUCCAGAAAAAUGUGAUGUUCCAGGGCUGCUUGAUAGCAGAACAUUGUCAUCUGCAGAAGAGGCAUCUGAAGAGUAUCACUAUAUAAAAGACCCUUUUUCAUCUUGGAUGUUUCUGGGUUUCCUCUGUCACAAGGAUAAACACCUUUGAGAAGCUUAUAUUCCUUUGAUGUUUACAAUCAGAGAGUCAUUUGGACAGGGUAAUUUUUAUGUCUUUUAGAGAAUUUUGAGUGAUUUUUGAGGUGUUGAUAGCAGGCACAUCAUUGUAAAAGAAACUUUAAAGAUAUUUUGCUCAACUGAAUAAAAGGAA